GCUGAAUUGUGUUCUAGCAGCACCUCCCCCAAAUCCCCAAGAUCCCCCCCCCCAAGCAGAGGAACUGUUUGAGACCCACGUGGGACCCUGGGAGGGCAGUUGGAGCAGCUGCAGCAAGGACGAGAUACUAAGCACACCCAGAGCAACCCUCACAGCUUGGGGGCCACCGCUGCUAUUAGAACUCAAUCAUCUCCAGAUCCUGUAUGGAGGCCACGUGAUGUAAAGCUAGCAGUCAGGGGGACACUGUUUCCUCAAGUGAAGAAUGGGAAAAUAAUUGGAUGUACUGGGUUCCUUUUCAUUGGGAGUUUUCAAGAAAAGCCUGAAUUGCUUUUUAUCAGGUUUCAGGACUGGGGGCCCACAUGGAAGCUACAGAAUAGAGAAAGGAUCACAAAAGAGCCACUAUACAGUUCAAAGAAGCCCAAGGUCAAAGAGAUCAACCAAUUCCAGUGGGAUUGAUGAGAAUCUGCACCAAGACAGAAGUCUUGUUUUGGAGUUUGAGGAAACAGUUGUUUGACAAUGUCAGAUGCAGGAUUUGCCCGUGCCAGAUUCAGACAAAGUAUCUCAGUUUGGCUAAAAUAUUGGCUCCCCUAUCACUGAGAAAAAAGGUAAAAUCAGACCAGAGAAUGCUAUUUCCCAUUUGCUGCUAAAAUCUAGUACUUUUUCUGUCUUUAAAAAGUGUGGCAAUUUUCUGUAAUCCUGGCUGCUUAUUGGGUAAGUGCAUAUUGUUUAAAUGGUCCUACACUCUUAUUAUAAAUUACUUCAUUAAGUCCUGAUUCUAGGACCUGUUAUGGGCUUAUCUUUGCUUA
This is a long non-coding RNA of Monodelphis domestica (gray short-tailed opossum), 806 nucleotides long. RefSeq lists it as uncharacterized. The record is from RefSeq and is a predicted model, not a curated record. Lineage: Eukaryota; Metazoa; Chordata; Mammalia; Didelphimorphia; Didelphidae.